RNAcentral lists this small nuclear RNA (108 nucleotides) under Sorex araneus (European shrew). The record is from RNAcentral. Lineage: Eukaryota; Metazoa; Chordata; Mammalia; Eulipotyphla; Soricidae.
GUGCUUCCUUUUGGCAGCACAUAUCCUAAAAUUGGAAUGAUACAGAGAAGAUUAGCAUGGGUCUGGCACAAGGAUGACAUGCAAAUUCAUGAAGCAUUCCUUAGUUUU